Molecule: long non-coding RNA, 200 nt
Filed under: Capsella grandiflora
Lineage: Eukaryota; Viridiplantae; Streptophyta; Magnoliopsida; Brassicales; Brassicaceae
Description: long non-coding RNA (CGRA_LNC000751)
Source: RNAcentral
AAAAUGUCGAAAAAAGCCCGAACUUUCAAAUUUAGGACGAAAAAGCAUAAACUUUCGAAAUGUCAAUUAAAUCAUAAAGUUUGGUUUGACUUUUCGAUAAAAUGCUCAAGUUUCGUUGACUGAGCCAUUUUGAGCACGACGUUAACUUUCCGUUUAAAAAAAUAAUAACGCAGUUAACUUUCCGUUAGAACCAAAACGAU